This 449-nucleotide ribosomal RNA is filed under the name uncultured bacterium. RNAcentral's name for it is "bacterial SSU rRNA". It matches the Rfam family "Bacterial small subunit ribosomal RNA", at positions 330 to 794 of the family's 1533-position model. The record is from RNAcentral.
ACCAGACUCCUACGGGAGGCAGCAGUGGGGGAUAUUGCACAAUGGGGGAAACCCUGAUGCAGCGACGCCGCGUGGGCGAAGAAGUAUUUCGGUAUGUAAAGCCCUAUCAGCAGGGAAGAAGAAAUGACGGUACCUGACUAAGAAGCCCCGGCUAACUACGUGCCAGCAGCCGCGGUAAUACGUAGGGGGCAAGCGUUAUCCGGAUUUACUGGGUGUAAAGGGAGCGUAGACGGCAUGGCAAGUCAGAUGUGAAAGCCCGGGGCUCAACCCCGGGACUGCAUUUGAAACUGUCAGGCUGGAGUGCAGGAGAGGUAAGUGGAAUUCCUAGUGUAGCGGUGAAAUGCGUAGAUAUUAGGAGGAACACCAGUGGCGAAGGCGGCUUACUGGACUGUAACUGACGUUGAGGCUCGAAAGCGUGGGGAGCAAACAGGAUUAGAUACCCCCGUACA